UGAGGAAUAUUGGUCAAUGGACGGAAGUCUGAACCAGCCAUGCCGCGUGAAGGAUGAAGGCGUUCUGCGUUGUAAACUUCUUUUAUCUGGGAAGAAACCACAGAUUUCUAUUUGUGUUGACGGUACCAGAAGAAUAAGCACCGGCUAACUCCGUGCCAGCAGCCGCGGUAAUACGGAGGGUGCGAGCGUUAUCCGGAUUUACUGGGUUUAAAGGGUGCGUAGGCGGGCUAUUAAGUCAGAGGUGAAAUCUCCGGGCUCAACCUGGAAACUGCCUUUGAUACUAUUAGCCUUGAAUUAUGCUGAGGUUGGCGGAAUAUAACAUGUAGCGGUGAAAUGCUUAGAUAUGUUAUGGAACACCGAUUGCGAAGGCAGCUGGCUAAACAUAUAUUGACGCUGAUGCACGAAAGCGUGGGUAGCGAACA
This 422-nucleotide ribosomal RNA is filed under the name uncultured bacterium. RNAcentral's name for it is "bacterial SSU rRNA". It matches the Rfam family "Bacterial small subunit ribosomal RNA", at positions 355 to 774 of the family's 1533-position model. The record is from RNAcentral.